UACGGGGGGGGCAAGCGUUGUUCGGAAUUACUGGGCGUAAAGGGCUCGUAGGCGGCCAACUAAGUCAGACGUGAAAUCCCUCGGCUUAACCGGGGAACUGCGUCUGAUACUGGAUGGCUUGAGAUUGGGAGAGGGAUGCGGAAUUCCAGGUGUAGCAGUGAAAUGCGUAGAUAUCUGGAGGAACACCGGUGGCGAAGGCGGCAUCCUGGACCAACACUGACGCUGAGGAGCGAAAGCCAGGGGAGCAAACGGG
This 253-nucleotide ribosomal RNA is filed under the name uncultured bacterium. RNAcentral's name for it is "partial 16S ribosomal RNA". It matches the Rfam family "Bacterial small subunit ribosomal RNA", at positions 524 to 776 of the family's 1533-position model. The record is from RNAcentral.